UAGCCCUAGGCCGAGCUUAGUUUCUGGUUGCAAACCGUACGGAAUCCCCUUUCCUCCCUCUCUUGCCACGAACCCUUCGCCGUCGCCGGCGAUCCCACCGACUCCCAGCCGCCUCUGCUUCCCCGGCGAUGUCUCUGCUUUGCGCUCCGCCGUCAAUGCGCGUUGCCCGGGCUAUGCGUCGCCUUCUCCCUGCGUCCUUGUGAGACCCGAGCCGCAAAUCCAGGCCCCAAGCGGGAUGCCACGCCGAGCCGCAGGAUUGACAGAACUCGGGGAGGUCUCCUGAUCCGGUGGUUGUUCGGUUCGCUGCCCCCUCCUUGCAUUGAUAAAGGAUUUUCUUGCAAGCCACUAGAUAUGGACCCAUGAAACGGACGAGGACGGCAUCUUACUGAAAUAGUACAGCGAGGAGUACUCUGCACACCGUGGUUGGAUGGAGAUAUACAUCGCAACAACUGAACAAGAUAAGGAUGAUUAGGAUGAGUUGAGGUGGGUUAUGGGCUAAAUUAUAAAGGCUUCCACAUAUCACCUCCCAUGUCUACUAAUCUAUUAUCAAAGCAACCAAAGAUCUAACUGCAGCUCCUGUUAUAUCAGAAUGUUUGAUUCCUUCGUGAGCUGAAUGCACAGAGUUGCUUUUGACGUUCACACGCCAUGCAGUUGUCGAGAACUCCAUCUUGAAAGGACCCCCAACUGACAGUCGUCUCAGCAAAGUUGAUGAAUUUUUCUGCUUUUUCCUUGAACGUUGGGCCACUGCAGGAGUCUGAGCCAGGAAUUGGAAUGGAGCCUCUGGAGACGAUCCUGCAAUCCAAUGGAAGCAAAUACAUGUAUAGCUGAGCAUGCACCAAAUAUGAGAAGUACUGUCCUGUGCCGCUAAGGCAGGAUAUUGGGCCGAAGAUAUUUUCGGCAGCAUUCUGGAGAUGGUCAAGUUCGUACGGAACUGGAGAGGUACCACUUGGUGUAAACUCUUUUGAGCAGCUUACUAUUUUUGCAGGAAUCCUCCUGUAUAAGUUACAGCCAUGGUAGUCAUCAGGCGGUAAACUGUCGACCAUGAGCUUCUGGAGAGGGCAUGGAAACGGAAGGAGAUGGAUGAUGUUGAUGACGGCCUCCUUGUAAUCUAUGGAGGUGACCUUGCAAGGCCCCAGAAUUGGGUGAUGUAGGAUGGUGUCUUGGCCAGAGCAUGCUAGCCUCGCGCAUGAAGCGCGGCAUGCUGAUGAUGUAUUGCUGGAUUCAAGCCGGUGAGGGAAACGGAUCUCUGGUCCAUCCUUGCUGCACCGGGACGGUGGACAAUGCCUGAAGAAGUCGUGGUCAUCCCAGCCUGAAGCUGUGGUGGCCAUGUAGCUGCAGGUGCCAUGGCUGAGGAAAGCAAGCAGGAGAUAUAUGGCGAGGAAUUUGCUACUCAUAUUGAUCUCUGACUCUAGGUGCAAAAGCAAUUGUGUGUGUGAUAACUGUAGUAUGUUCCCUUGAAAAAAAAAAGAGAUAACUGUAGUCUGUACUCUGUAGGUAUUCCAUAUAUGUACAUGAAGUGGAGGUGUGGAUAUAUAUAUGUGGGAUCAGGAUAUUGCAACUGUGCGCUUCAUUGUAAGCAACAAUGCGCUGUAUGUUCUCCCCGUGUUUCAUGUUACAAGUCAUUUUUUUCAUAUUAUAAGUCAAUUUGACUUU
Non-coding RNA from Oryza sativa Japonica Group (Japanese rice), 1653 nucleotides. Lineage: Eukaryota; Viridiplantae; Streptophyta; Magnoliopsida; Poales; Poaceae. The record is from RefSeq and is a predicted model, not a curated record.